CGGUUGCGGCUCUGGUGUUCACUUUUGGUUCUUGUGUUGCCUACCCGUUUAGUGGUAUUCAUGUGCCUCUUAAGACUUGUUCCAUCCAGACCCCUUGUAGGGGCAACUGGGGGAUUCGAAAGUGAUACGUGUUUUGCGUGAGCUGUGCGUUGCAACGGCUCGCGUGCUCACGUGUCUAUUUUUCCCUUGGAUGCGGUGCAUGCGAUGAACGUGGGCUAACGAUUGUGCCCCGUUGAGUCCCUUUGAUUUAUCGGUUGCCUUGAAUGACACUUUGCAGUAGUGCUGGUCUUGCUUUACCAUUAUUGGGGGCAACACUUGCACUUCGAGCAGAGUCGUUGAUGG
Molecule: unclassified non-coding RNA, 342 nt
Filed under: Calicotome intermedia
Lineage: Eukaryota; Viridiplantae; Streptophyta; Magnoliopsida; Fabales; Fabaceae
Description: partial external transcribed spacer
Source: RNAcentral